Non-coding RNA from Vicia faba (fava bean), 336 nucleotides. Lineage: Eukaryota; Viridiplantae; Streptophyta; Magnoliopsida; Fabales; Fabaceae. The record is from the annotation of a GenBank genome assembly.
AUGUAUUUCUUUAGUGAUGAAGCUUUAUUGUUUUUCUCUAUCCAUAACUUGAGUUUUGCUCUGAUUCAGCAUACCAGAUUUGGGAGUAACUUUGUUUUCCAAGAUAAGGAAUUUUGGACAACUUGGCUGGUAUUAUUUGUUUUGCUAAUCUGUUUCUUGGGUUGUAGGCCCAAUAGCUCCUUUGGUAUUAGGUGGAAGCUUAAUCGGUCAUGUUUCAUAUUGGGGUGUAGGCCCAAUAGCUCUUUUGGUAUUAGGUGGAAGCUUAAUCGGUCAUGUUUCAUAUUGGGUACUAAGAAAGACUCAUCACAUUUCAGUGUUUGCUACUCUGCAUUUUGA